RNAcentral lists this ribosomal RNA (274 nucleotides) under Streptomyces griseocarneus. Its description in RNAcentral is "partial 16S ribosomal RNA". It matches the Rfam family "Bacterial small subunit ribosomal RNA", at positions 505 to 778 of the family's 1533-position model. The record is from RNAcentral. Lineage: Bacteria; Bacillati; Actinomycetota; Actinomycetes; Kitasatosporales; Streptomycetaceae.
GUGCCAGCAGCCGCGGUAAUACGUAUGGAGCAAGCGUUAUCCGGAUUUACUGGGUGUAAAGGGUGCGUAGGUGGCAGUGCAAGUCAGAUGUGAAAGGCCGGGGCUCAACCCCGGAGCUGCAUUUGAAACUGUAUAGCUAGAGUCCAGGAGAGGCAGGCGGAAUUCCUAGUGUAGCGGUGAAAUGCGUAGAUAUUAGGAGGAACACCAGUGGCGAAGGCGGCCUGCUGGACUGUAACUGACGCUGAGGCACGAAAGCGUGGGGAGCAAACAGGAU